AUGUUUUUGGUGGCACAUGGGAUAAAACUGGAACCAUACAGAGAAGAUUAGUGAAAUUCCUAUGCAAGGAUGACAUGAACAUACAUGGAGCUUUCUGUGGACUG
Small nuclear RNA from Monodelphis domestica (gray short-tailed opossum), 104 nucleotides. The record is from Ensembl. NCBI's taxonomy places the organism in Eukaryota, Metazoa, Chordata, Mammalia, Didelphimorphia, Didelphidae.